AUUUGUGAAAGCAGAUGAGUCUUCGGACCUGAGGCGAGGUGCUGCAUGGUUGUCGUCAGCUCGUGCCGUGAGGUGUCGGCUUAAGUGCCAUAACGAGCGCAACCCCCACCGACAGUUGCUAACUGGUCAAGCAGAGGACUCUGUCGGGACUGCCGGCGCAAGCUGUGAGGAAGGCGGGGAUGACGUCAAAUCAGCACGGCCCUUACGUCCGGGGCGACACACGUGUUACAAUGGCAGGUACAGCGGGAAGCGACCGAGCGAUUGGCAGCGGAACCCGAAAACCUGUCUCAGUUCGGAUCGGAGUCUGCAACCCGACUCCGUGAAGCUGGAUUCGCUAGUAAUCGCGCAUCAGCCAUGGCGCGGUGAAUACGUUCCCGGGCCUUGUACACACCGCCCGUCAAGCCAUGGGAGCCGGGAGUGCCUGAAGGCCGUGACCGCAAGGAGCGGCCUAAGGUAAAACUGGUGACUGGGGCUAAGUCGUAACAAGGUAGCCGUACCGGAAGGUGCGGCUGGAACACCUCCUUUCUGGAGC
This 532-nucleotide ribosomal RNA is filed under the name Muribaculaceae bacterium Isolate-013 (NCI). RNAcentral describes it as "bacterial SSU rRNA". It matches the Rfam family "Bacterial small subunit ribosomal RNA", at positions 997 to 1533 of the family's 1533-position model. The record is from RNAcentral. Lineage: Bacteria; Pseudomonadati; Bacteroidota; Bacteroidia; Bacteroidales; Muribaculaceae.